CAAUAGCGUAUAUUAAAGUUGUUGCGGUUAAAAAGCUCGUAGUUGGAUUUCUGUCGGUGAGUGAAAGUCCGCUCUCAGUGGUUGGUACUUUUCACGCCACCGGCAUCUUCCUGGGGAGUUGUGUCUGCUCUUUGUUGAGUGGCGCAUAAUCCAGGACUUUUACUUUGAAGAAAUGAGAGUGUUUCAAGCAGGCCAUCGCCCUGAAUACGUUAGCAUGGAAUAAUAGCAUCGGACCUCGUUCCAAAGCUGUUGGUUUCUUGGACCGAGGUAAAGGUGAAUAGGGGAUUGUUGGGGCAUUGCGUAUUAAUACUGUCAGAGGUGAAAUUCUUGGAUUUGUUGAAGACGGACUACUGCGAAAGCAUCUGCCAAAGAUGUUCUCAUUGAUCAAGAAC
RNAcentral lists this ribosomal RNA (392 nucleotides) under uncultured eukaryote. RNAcentral describes it as "SSU rRNA". It matches the Rfam family "Eukaryotic small subunit ribosomal RNA", at positions 592 to 984 of the family's 1831-position model. The record is from RNAcentral.